Molecule: long non-coding RNA, 526 nt
Organism: Prunus persica (peach)
Lineage: Eukaryota; Viridiplantae; Streptophyta; Magnoliopsida; Rosales; Rosaceae
Exons: 3
Source: RefSeq, a predicted model, not a curated record
AAUCUCCCCCCCUUGCGACGACAGCGACUUCUCGUCGUCGCCACCGCCACCACACGCCGCCACUUGGGGCGGCACCGGUUCCGUUGGAACCACCACACUCCCUACUUUCCAUUCCACCUCACCACCGCCUCAAUCCGCCACCGUGGUCGCCGGAGACAGCCACGAAAAGUAGUGGUUUGGACAGAUUUUUACCAAACUUUCGGCCUCUCGUUCUCUCUCAUUUCUCCACCAAAUUUGACGAGUAGGGUACUCCGACCACGCAUACGCAGCAGGUGGGACCCUCUCAGGGUCAGGCAGUGUGGGACUACUUCCAGUAGUUGACUGAGCUCCGCAGCUGAGCCGGAUCGUGUGCUUACGAGUCUUGAGCCUUCGUAGGAUUCCUUCAUUCUGUUUUCCUUGAACUUUAUUUUUGUUGUAUUUAAAUUCCUUAGAUAUGCUCUAUUAUCGCCCUUGCUAGGGUUUGAUCUUUGAGGCCGGAGGCCUUUGUUUUAAACUGUUUAUUUGCUUUAAAGCAUGCUGCUGGUUG